Molecule: ribosomal RNA, 459 nt
Filed under: uncultured bacterium
Lineage: Bacteria
Description: partial 16S ribosomal RNA
Rfam family: Bacterial small subunit ribosomal RNA
Source: RNAcentral
CCUACGGGGGACAGCAGUGAGGAAUAUUGGUCAAUGGGCGCGAGCCUGAACCAGCCAAGCCGCGUGAGGGAAGACGGCCCUAUGGGUUGUAAACCUCUUUUGUCGGAGAACAAAACCCGGGACGUGUCCCGGACUGCGUGUAUCCGAAGAAAAAGCAUCGGCUAACUCCGUGCCAGCAGCCGCGGUAAUACGGAGGAUGCGAGCGUUCUCCGGAUUUAUUGGGUUUAAAGGGUGCGUAGGCGGUCCGUUAAGUCAGCGGUAAAAUUGCGGGGCUCAACCCCGUCGAGCCGUUGAAACUGGCAGACUUGAGUUGGCGAGAAGUACGCGGAAUGCGCGGUGUAGCGGUGAAAUGCAUAGAUAUCGCGCAGAACUCCGAUUGCGAAGGCAGCGGACCGGCGCCAGACUGACGCUGAGGCACGAAAGCGUGGGGAUCGAACAGGAUUAGAUACCCCUGUAGUC